Molecule: ribosomal RNA, 460 nt
Filed under: uncultured bacterium
Lineage: Bacteria
Description: partial 16S ribosomal RNA
Rfam family: Bacterial small subunit ribosomal RNA
Source: RNAcentral
CCUACGGGAGGCAGCAGUGAGGAAUAUUGGUCAAUGGACGAGAGUCUGAACCAGCCAAGUAGCGUGAAGGAUGACUGCCCUAUGGGUUGUAAACUUCUUUUAUAUGGGAAUAAAAUGUUCCACGUGUGGGAUUUUGUAUGUACCAUCUGAAUAAGGAUCGGCUAACUCCGUGCCAGCAGCCGCGGUAAUACGGAGGAUCCGAGCGUUAUCCGGAUUUAUUGGGUUUAAAGGGAGCGUAGGUGGAUUGUUAAGUCAGUUGUGAAAGUUUGCUGCUCAACCGUAAAAUUGCAGUUGAAACUGGCAGUCUUGAGUACAGUAGAGGUGAGCGGAAUUCGUGGUGUAGCGGUGAAAUGCUUAGAUAUCACGAAGAACUCCGAUUGCGAAGGCAGUUCACUGGACUGCAACUGACACUGAGGCUCGAAAGUGUGGGUAUCAAACAGGAUUAGAUAUCCGAGUAGUC